GGGGAAUUUUGGACAAUGGGGGCAACCCUGAUCCAGCCAUGCCGCGUGUCUGAAGAAGGCCUUCGGGUUGUAAAGGACUUUUGUCAGGGAGGAAAUCCUGAGCGUUAAUAGCGUUCGGGGAUGACAGUACCUGAAGAAUAAGCACCGGCUAACUACGUGCCAGCAGCCGCGGUAAUACGUAGGGUGCGAGCGUUAAUCGGAAUUACUGGGCGUAAAGCGUGCGCAGGCGGUUGUGCAAGUCUGAUGUGAAAGCCCCGGGCUUAACCUGGGAACGGCAUUGGAGACUGCACGACUAGAGUACGUCAGAGGGGGGUAGAAUUCCACGUGUAGCAGUGAAAUGCGUAGAGAUGUGGAGGAAUACCGAUGGCGAAGGCAGCCCCCUGGGAUGAUACUGACGCUCAUGCACGAAAGCGUGGGGAGCAAAC
This 425-nucleotide ribosomal RNA is filed under the name uncultured bacterium. RNAcentral's name for it is "bacterial SSU rRNA". It matches the Rfam family "Bacterial small subunit ribosomal RNA", at positions 356 to 773 of the family's 1533-position model. The record is from RNAcentral.